Molecule: ribosomal RNA, 253 nt
Filed under: uncultured bacterium
Lineage: Bacteria
Description: partial 16S ribosomal RNA
Rfam family: Bacterial small subunit ribosomal RNA
Source: RNAcentral
GACGUAGGGCGCGAGCGUUGUCCGGAUUUAUUGGGCGUAAAGAGCUCGUAGGCGGCUUGUCGCGUCGACUGUGAAAACUCGGGGCUCAACUCCGAGCUUGCAGUCGAUACGGGCAGGCUAGAGUUCGGUAGGGGAGACUGGAAUUCCUGGUGUAGCGGUGAAAUGCGCAGAUAUCAGGAGGAACACCGAUGGCGAAGGCAGGUCUCUGGGCCGAUACUGACGCUGAGGAGCGAAAGCAUGGGGAGCGAACAGG